UGCUUGUGCAAGGCCAGAGGUCUCACCCCAUGAGGAUAUUUUGAGGCUUAGAUCCCAUGCACAGCCCUGUUCUUCACUAUGGGGGGGAAGACAUGGUAUGCUUGUGAGAGGAAAUGUGAGUGAAGCAACAGAAGACCAUAAAAUAGGAUUAAAAAUAGAGACUGGAGGGAUUUUGUUAGAACCUGGCGUUCCAUCAAAAAAACCCACACAAAUCCCAGGACAUCCCAGAAGCCUGUUAUAAACUAAGAGGGGGAACAAGGAAGAAGAAGAGAUAAAAUUUCAUAAUAAAAAUCAUUGUAAACUA
Molecule: non-coding RNA, 304 nt
Organism: Lonchura striata (white-rumped munia)
Lineage: Eukaryota; Metazoa; Chordata; Aves; Passeriformes; Estrildidae
Source: RefSeq, a predicted model, not a curated record